RNAcentral lists this long non-coding RNA (4689 nucleotides) under Xyrichtys novacula (pearly razorfish). Lineage: Eukaryota; Metazoa; Chordata; Actinopteri; Labriformes; Labridae. The record is from RNAcentral.
GGUUUGCAACUACGUGUCCCAGACUGCAUCCCUGCUGAGAGUCCCUCCCUCCCUUCUCAUGUUGCAGGAAGAACGUAAGCGCCCGCCCCUUGUCAAUCAGUCACCAUAUAAUUUUGGAUUGGUUGUUGUGGUGAAGUUUUCCACCAAUAGGAGAGAUGGUGUGGUGUUUUUUUUUUCUUUUGGCAAGCCUUUUCCGCCUGUAAGAGCUGUCGCUAAUGUCUGCAUGCUAUGUUUUCCUGUCUCAUACAGCGCGAUCGAGCGCCGAACAUGAUCAAAAUAAGCAGAAAAAAAGUAUCGCGGACAUAAUUUAUCAUAACUCUGGUUUUAUUUGGCCUAUCAACACAAUUUAAAAACUGGUAUAUAGGUUGAGGUCCUCACUUUUGAGAGAAGUUGAAACGGAGAGUCAACGAGGCUCCGUCUUGCAGCUACAUCCGGUUAAAUAUGUCAUGUGACUUGAACGCACACACAGACACACACACACGCACACACACACACACACACACACACACACACACACACACACACUCAGAGUCUGGUUUUUAGCACCUGCAAAAACAUGCUAUUUACAUAUUUGACAAGAAUGCAGAGGCUCCUUUUGCCCCUGAAAAAAAUCAAAUUUCAAACACAACUUGACUGGUCAUUUCUCCAAAAGACAACCAUGAAGCUCCAUCCAAACCUGAAGCAGGCAGUUGGUGCAUGUGUACAGUAACCUGAGGGGAGUGAGGUGAGUGCUUCUGAGGAGAACAUGAGCAGUGAAGAUUCACCUUGGAGCUAGAACAGAGACAUGCACAUGAUUAUACAGGGGCAGGGGCUCAAAUUUUUUCCAGUCGUUUAUACAAUAUGGAAAUUAAUGUGAAAUUAAAACACAAAGUAUUAAUAGAAAGGUAAUGACUGUCCUGUGUAGGUGACAGUGAUAUCCAAUAGGCUAGGCACUCACGAGGCUGGCUGUGGCAAGUGUAAGUGAAAGCAACACGCACUGGCAGGAAGAACAGCAAACGCCGAUGAAGGAAAAGGGUCUUUGCAGUGAUGGGCGUUACCAGAGAGGGCGAUGGCCAGAGGACACAAAUGGGACGGGGAGGCAGCACGUUGGGGGGGGGGACGCGACACGGCUCGGGCCCGCCAGUGCCCCAACGGGGUCCUAGUUAUUAUUUUUCCUCCCCUUUGAACUGGAAAAUGGCCCACUUCCCACUGGCGAAAACUCAUGAAAUUUGGCAGGACGACCGGGCCUGGUGAAAAAUUUGAUAUUCCGAAGUCGCCCAAACAAGAAAAUGCAAAAUGGCUCCAUAGCGCCCCCUAAGGUGAAAAUUCACACUAUUGACUGUCACGCCUGUACGCUUUGUCAAAAUGACACAAAAAUUGACACACACAUGUAUCUCAAUAAGAUCUACAAAAAAGUCAGUGCGGGCGUAUCUGUCAAAUGUACGGUUAAAGGGUUAUUUCGCAUUUUUUGCCGAUCCGCACACAUUGGAAUUUCGCUAACUCCUCCGAAGGCUUUCGUUCCACCGGCACCACAUUUGCUCAGGCCAAUCUACACCCCAUGGCCAUUAAAAGUUAUUCAAAUCAUGACGCUGCACCCCACGGUUUAGGUUCUAGGGGGCGCCAAAGAUAACCCUAAGAUCCACAUAUUUAAAAGUCUUAUAACUUUUUAUUUUUGCCCUCACUGGCCUCCAAGUUUUCUAGGAUGAUGCAAUGUCCAGCCAUCAACACAUUUGUGAAGGAAUUUUUACUCCCCAAAAGAGCGCCCCCCCAUGGCAGGAGAAAAAAGUCAAUUUUUUCUUGUCCCCUAAGGUGAAAAUACACAUUGUUGAGUGUAACACCUGUACGCUUUGGCAAAAUGACACAAAAAUUGACACACACAUGUAUCUCAAUAAGAUCUACGAAAAAGUCAAUGCGGGCGUAUCUGUUAAAUGUACGGUUAAAGGGUUAUUCUGCAUUUUUUGCCGAUCCGCACACAUUGGAAUUUCGCUAACUCCUCCGAAGGCUUUCGUUCCACCGGCUCCACAUUUGCUCAGGCCAAUCUACACCCCAUGGCCAUUAAAAGUUAUUCAAAUCAUGACGCUGCACCCCACGGUUUAGGUUCUAGGGGGCGCCAAAUAUAACCCUAAAAUCCACAUAUUUAAAAGUCUUAUAACUUUUUAUUUUUGUCCCCACUGGCCUCCAAGUUUUCUAGGAUGAUGCAAUGUCCAGCCAUCGACACAUUUGUGAAGGAAUUUUUACUCGCCAAAAGAGCGCCCCCCAUGGCAGGAGAAAAAAGUCCAUUUUUUCUUGUCCACUAAGGUGAAAAUACACAUUGUUGAGUGCUACGCCUGUAUGUUUUGUCGUAUUGACACAAAAUUUUACAUACACAUGUAUUUCAAUAAGAUCUUCGAAAAAGUCAAGGGCCAGGUAUCUGUAAAAUGUACGGUUAAAGGGUUAUUUUGCAUUUUUUGCAGAUUCGCACACAUUGGAAUUUCGCUAACUCCUCAGAAGGCUUUCGUUCCACCGGCACCACAUUUGCUCAGGCCAAUCUACACCCCAUGGCCAUUAAAAGUUAUUCAAAUCAUGACGCUGCACCCCACGGUUUAGGUUCUAGGGGGCGCCAAAGAUAACCCUAAAAUCCACAUAUUUAAAAGUCUUAUAACUUUUUAUUUUUGUCCUCACUGGCCUCCAUGUUUUCUAGGAUGAUGCAAUGUCCAGCCAUCAACACAUUUGUGAAGGAGUUUUUUCUCGUUAAAAGAGCGCCCCCCCAUGGCAGGAGAAUAAAGUCAAGUUUUUCCUGUUCAUCAUUCAAUGGCUCAAACGCACUGCUCUCUCGGCAAAAGCGAAAGGAGGAGCAACUUGCCAUUUGGAUAUAUCUUAGCUGUGUUUGUGCCCUCACUCAUGGUCCAGACUUUUUUCAAAUAGGACAUGGAGUUUUUCUGCAGCGAGCGCUUUGGUAGAAACUGCGCCUCCCGUUCAUUAUAAUGGUAAAUGACCACAAACAAGUGCGCACACCAUCUUUGGACCUUGAGUGUGACGCGAUCGGGUGGGGGAGGCGGUCGCGCUGGGGGCGGCGUGACACGGCUCGGGCCUGCCAGUGCCCCAACGGGGCCCUAGUUAGGGCCCGAGCGUAGCUGCUAAGCAGCUGCGAGAGCCCUAUUAUUCCCCAAGUGGUUUUUCUUUGUUUCUUUCUUUCUUUCUUUCUUCUUUUUCCUCCCCUUUGAACUGGAAAAUGGCCCACUUCCCACUGGCGAAAACUCAUGAAAUUUGGCAGGACGACCGGGCCUGGUGAAAAAUUCGAUAUUCUGAAGUCGCCCAAACAAUAAAAUGCAAAAUGGCUCCAUAGCGCCCCCUAAGGUGGAAAUUCACACUAUUGACUGUCACGCCUGUACGCUUUGUCAUAUUGACACAAAAAUUGACACACAUAUGUAUCUCAAUAAGAUCUACAAAAAAGUCAGUGCGGGCGUAUCUGUCAAAUGUACGGUUAAAGGGUUAUUUCGCAUUUUUUGCCGAUCCGCACACAUUGGAAUUUCGCUAACUCCUCCGAAGGCUUUCGUUCCACCGGCACCACAUUUGCUCAGGCCAAUCUACACCCCGUGGCCAUUAAAAGUUAUCAAAAUCAUGACGCUGCACCCCAAGGUUUAGGUUCUAGGGGGCGCCAAAGAUAACACUAAAAUCCACAUAUUUAAAAGUCUUAUAACUUUUUAUUUUUGUCCUCACUGGCCUCCAAGUUUUCUAGGAUGAUGCAAUGUCCAGCCAUCAACACAUUUGUGAAGGAAUUUUUACUCCCCAAAAGAGCGCCCCCCCAUGGCAGGAGAAAAAAGUCCAUUUUUUCUUGUCCCCUAAGGUGAAAAUACACAUUGUUGAGUGUCACGCCUAUACGCUUUGUCAAAAUGACACAAAAAUUGACACACACAUGUAACUCAAUAAGAUCUACAAAAAAGUCAAUGCGCGCGUAUCUGUCAAAUGUACGGUUAAAGGGUUAUUCCGCAUUUUUUGCCGAUCCGCACACAUUGGAAUGUGGCUAACUCCUCCUAAGGCUUUCGUUCCACCGGCACCACAUUUGCUCAGGCCAAUCUACACCCCAUGGCCAUUAAAAGUUAUUCAAAUCAUGACGCUGCACCCCACGGUUUAGGUUCUAGGGGGCGCCAAAGACAACCCUAAAAUCCACAUAUUUAAAAGUCUUAUAACUUUUUAUUUUUGUCCUCACUGGCCUCCAAGUUUUCUAGGAUGAUGCAAUGUCCAGCCAUCAACACAUUUGUGAAGGAAUUUUUACUCCCAAAAAGAGCGCCCCCCAUGGCAGGAGAAAAAAGUUAAUUUUUUCUUGUCCCAUAAGGUGAAAAUUCACAUUGUUGAGUGUGACACCUGUACGCUUUGUCAUAUUGACACAAAAUUUGACAAUCACGUGUAUCUCAAUAAGAUCUACGAAAAAGUCAAUGCACGCGUAUCUGUCAAAUGCACGGUUAGAGGGCUAUUUUGCAUUUUUUGCCGAUUCGCACACAUUGGAAUGUGGCUAACUCCUCCUAAGGCUUUCGUCCCACUGAAACCAAAUUUGCUCAGGCCAAUCUACACCCCAUGGCCAUUCAAAGUUGUAAAAAUCAUGACGCUGCACCCCACGGUUUACGUUCUAGGGGGCGCCAAAGAUGACCCAAAAAUCCACAUUCUUAAAAGAAUCCACAUUCCCCCCCCAUGGCACGAGAGAAAGUCAAGUUUUUCCUGCCCAUCGCUCAA